Molecule: ribosomal RNA, 516 nt
Filed under: uncultured Glomus
Lineage: Eukaryota; Fungi; Glomeromycota; Glomeromycetes; Glomerales; Glomeraceae
Description: SSU rRNA
Rfam family: Eukaryotic small subunit ribosomal RNA
Source: RNAcentral
GUAUUCCGCUCCAUAGCGUAUAUUAAAGUUGUUGCAGUUAAAAAGCUCGUAGUUGAAUUUCGGGGUCAGUAGGUUGGUCAUGCCACUGGUAUGUACUGGUCUCACUGAUUCCUCCUUCCUGAUGAGCCGUAAUGCCAUUAAUUUGGUGUUGCGAGGAAUCUGGACUGUUACUUUGAAAAAAUUAGAGUGUUUAAAGCAGGCUAACGCUUGAAUACAUUAGCAUGGAAUAAUGAAAUAGGACGUUCGAUCUUAUUUUGUUGGUUUCUAAGAUUGACGUAAUGAUUAAUAGGGAUAGUUGGGGGCAUUAGUAUUCAAUUGUCAGAGGUGAAAUUCUUGGAUUUAUUGAAGACUAACUACUGCGAAAGCAUUUGCCAAGGAUGUUUUCAUUAAUCAAGAACGAAAGUUAGGGGAUCGAAGACGAUCAGAUACCGUCGUAGUCUUAACCAUAAACUAUGCCGACUAGGGAUCGGAUGAUGUUAAUUUUUUAAUGACUCAUUCGGCACCUUACGGGAAACA